UCCCCCGUUACUGUUCAGAAGAUAAGUAAUAGGUAGGGAUGACAGGAUUUGAACCCGUGACAUUUUGUACC
RNAcentral lists this transfer RNA (71 nucleotides) under Taihangia rupestris var. rupestris. RNAcentral's name for it is "Geum rupestre var. rupestre tRNA-Pro". The record is from RNAcentral. Lineage: Eukaryota; Viridiplantae; Streptophyta; Magnoliopsida; Rosales; Rosaceae.